CCCCUCACGCUUAUCUUUUCCCCAUUCUUCACUCAGUCCUCCAAAUCCACAGCCUGGCCACCCCUCCCCUUCCCGAUCCCCAUCCACAGCCGCCGGAGCUCUCUGCUGGCCGCACCUAUCCUUUGUCAGCAACGCCGGCGGACACGCAGGCCCCUGCUUUGCCCCGCCCUCCCCCUUCGUCAGCAACACCGGCGGACGCGAGCGCCCCUGCUCUGCCCGCCCCUUCUUCCUAUCCGGUGCCGCUGGGACCCUCCUUCCUCCUGGCGACGGCGGGGCGCUCGAGCCGGGCAUGCUCGCCGGCGACACCGGGGCCCUCCCUCCUCCUGGAGACGGCACUGCGCUUGAGCCGGGCAUGCUCGCCGGCGACGCCGGGGCCCUCCCUCCUCGUGGCGAUGGCGGGGCGCUAGAGCUGGGCAUGCUCGCCAGCGACGCCGGGGUUCGCUCUUGCUGAUGCACUCGCUGCGGCAGGAACUUCCCUCCCCCUCCACCCUGCUUGGGACGCCAUGAAGGAGCAGGAGCAGUUUCUGCUGGCGACCUCCAUCUUGAUUAGGAUCACCACGAUGACCUCCGCGUGCUGUGCUCGGGACCCUCCCUAUGCUUCUCGUCGCUCCUCCGGGUCCAAAAACUUCUUUUGUGCUGCAACUAAUGGGGAAAUACAAAAAUACAAAUAAUGUCAAUUACUUUGAGCCUUUGAGUUAGAAGGGCUGACCUGCAUGAGUACUCAUUGAGGAGCAAGAGUAUCUCAGGCCCCACGCUUUCCUCGUUUAUCUCAGGCCCAAUGUUUUUUUUGUUUUUUUAUACCCCACACAUACAGAAUUAAAGGAGUUAUUUUCGUAAUACAUUUUUAUACAAAAUUAUUGGGUUCAGCUCAUCGGAACGUUUCAUCGAUACUUUUGUGUGCUUUCUCUUACCUUUUUUUAUAUACAUAAAGUUUACCUCUCUGUAUAGAAAUAUAAUUCUUGUAUCAUUUGUCUUGCCAGCUAGUUAAUGUACCCUUAGCGGCCAUGCUUGAUAGGAGGGGCCAGGGAAGUGCUUUAAGUCGUUCCAAGAAUGUGAGACAGUGUCAAGUCUGUAAGGCAAGUCAAGGGGAUCCUGUGGCGGCAAGAUCCUUCAGCGGUGCAGGAGAUUAAGGGUUCCAUAAUCGAUUCCGCGCUUGUUGCUAUCCCUAUUUUUCAGACUCAUCUAGGUUAUGUAGGUUCACGAUUGUACUGAGUUGGGGGUUCUCCUCCCCUGACAGCUGGGUGAAUGGCAAUCGUCAUGAAUGUCGCUGCAUCUGUUACAUGGAUGAGUUUUCAUAGGUGCCUCAUUAUUCGUCUGCAAUUUACAGAGAGUCUAACAAAUCUGGGAUGAUGGAAACAAGAGGGAAUGAGGGCGCACCUGCGUUGCAGAGGAGUUCGUGGACGGUGACGGCGUGGUAAGAGCUCAACGGCGAUAAGGCAGGACAGCCUAGGCGGCGGCGUCUUAAAGCGUCACCAAGCAUGGACGGUGGCGGCAUGUAAAAGCCUCACGAAGUCCAGAAGAGCGUAGACCUGUGAUGGCGAAGUAGUCGUCGUCGCCGGGUGCCUCGCCGGCUGCAUAGGGCAUGCUCCUCGUCGCAUCCGUCGCCGGGUGCCUCGGCGGCUGCGUAGGGCGUAGGUCAAUCUGGAUGCCUGGAGGGCCGGCUCUGUUUUUUUUGUUCCUGUGCAGUUGAACAACCCAUCCGGAGAUUACGUGAUGUUUUCCCUUGUAAGCAUAUUAAUAUUUCCUAGAUGGACUUUAUUUUUUUUGGCCGAACGUGGGAGGGCAGUUUUCGUCUGCCCCUUGUUGGCUCUUUUAAUAGUAGUGGAGAAAAAAGACCACACCCAGACAAUGAAAAACCCUAUCUUCUGUAGCUAAACGACGCUGGAUUACCCUUU
This is a non-coding RNA of Triticum urartu, 1895 nucleotides long. The record is from RefSeq and is a predicted model, not a curated record. Lineage: Eukaryota; Viridiplantae; Streptophyta; Magnoliopsida; Poales; Poaceae.